GUGUGCUCACACGCCGAGGGAGAGGAGGCAGGGCUAGAGGAUGGAGGAUGCAGCCUGGAGCCGGUGCCCUGAUCCCCCUCCUCCUCUUGCUCCUCCUCAUCACCGUUUUCGUGCCUCCCCCCUCCGAUACUGCAGUGUUCACCGGACAACUUGAUUUUGAGUAAGGGACGUAGCUUGUAGUCUUCCAAGAGGGCCUGGGCUGUCUGCUUGCCUGUCUUUUUCACCACCGCUUUGAUGCCCAGGUUGUCGAUGUUGAAGGCGGUGACGCCCAUGUUGAUGGCCGAGUUGACGGCGUGAUCUGUGGCCUGGCCUGCCGCCGCUCCGUACCUUUUGAUCAGAGCAAAACGUUGCAUUUGCCAAAAGGCAAUGGAUGAGCUAUUGUUGCUUGCCAGGGGAACCACUCUCCAAUCACUAUCCACGAGUCUGGCAAAACAGGCACUGCCACCAGAAGAGUCUGCCUCAUGCUUGGAGACAUAAAGAGUGAUGACGUCCUUCCUACAUAUUCUUCCACUCGGCACACAUAAUUCCAGUCUAUUUUCAUUGUGAUAAAGUGGGGCAGAAACCCACCACAUCAAGCAAACAGAUCUAUGGUGAAAGAAAAGUUGCUUUGUGAGACAGGUGACAGUUGCCACAGACAGGCAUCUACAGGACUGUUUGUGAUUGUUUGGCCAACUAGCGGCAAUUGAAGUUAUCUUUGUGGCAAAAUGGUAAUAAAGCUGUGUAGGUAUGCCUACUGACGUGGCCAAUGAGUUUACUCCUUAUACCUGUACACAAUUGUGUAUGUUAGGUACAGUACCUGUAGGAAAGCUUGUGGUCUAUCAGGCAUCCUCUCAGAGUGAUCGCUGGCAAAUCUGACCAG
Molecule: non-coding RNA, 859 nt
Organism: Doryrhamphus excisus (bluestripe pipefish)
Lineage: Eukaryota; Metazoa; Chordata; Actinopteri; Syngnathiformes; Syngnathidae
Source: RefSeq, a predicted model, not a curated record